CUGAGUAGCCAAGUUGGGAAUCCCACCUGAAUCAAUCCUGUCUCUGGGCAAAAGCUGCCACUUCCCCAUGAGUACAACAGAUGCCCAUACCAAAGCAAUUACUGUAUGGGAGAUGCCGGCUGGCUGGAAGAACCUGUUCAUUCUGGGUCUGUAAUGGAGUCUGUGAGGAACUCAGCUUCCUGGUGUGGAAGAAGGAGAAGAACUUCUUUGUCAACAACUGAGAAGAUCCUGAAGAAUCCCAAGGUGCAUGAGGAGGUAACAAGGGGACAGCUGAAAUUUAUGUUAUUGUGACAUUUCUAUGCUAAUCUCAAGAAUGAUCGUGCUGAGAAAGUAAAUCCUUUGCAAAUGCUCAUGAAUCUCUGGUAUUCAGGUGCCCUGCAGGAGAGACGCAGAGAUACAGAAAAGAUUUUCACCACUUGUUCUCAGCAUGUGGCUCUCAUCUGGUGCUGUGUUCUUCCUGCUCGUUGCCUGGGACAGCAUUCAGAACAAGUGGGAUUUUCAAAAGUGGUCUGUGUAGAGCAAGAAUAUUCCUAUUUUCCCCCCUGCCCAGGCUAAACAGAUUGCUCCAACUGCACUUCCCCUUCUGGGUCCUCCUCCCAAGUACAGGUGAAGGAUGGUUCUUCACAAGACUUGGGAGCUGAGGCUUGCACACUGACUGUUCUGUUAUCCAUCUAUAGUCAUGCCCUCCUGUUGUACUGCCUAAUGGAUAGUGUCGUCCCUUCCUGUGUUUCAGCCUCCUUUUACACCUGAAAUUGCUAUCCGAAGUGCAGACGCAGCAAUGAUGUGGAGCCCUAAAACAGGAGAGAGGGACAGCAGAAAGAAAGGAGAGGUGUAAAAAAGCACCAGCAACAAGCCCAGGAAGUUGAGCGAAUGCAUAAGCAGAACCAUUAGCGUGUGCUUGUGGAAUGUGUAACACGUAGCAGAGAGCAGCCUUACUCUCGUUCUGGCUGACUCACUUGGUCUCUCUUACCUGUCAUUAACAUUGUGAGGUGUUCACCCUGACACGUCACUUUUUGUUCAGCUCACUGUAGCUUGUCAUACAUAGAAAAGACAGGCAACUCCAUGCUCUUUCUCUCUUCCUUAACGCAGAGGUUCCCAAACCGUGCAAAGAUCCUCGUCAGCCUUCUUUGUGUCUUUUGGAGCACUUACACUUUUAUUGUUCAACUUUGAAUAGAGAGUUUUUAAAAAUAGUUGGUUCUCCAGACCAACUACAAACUUUUAUAACCUUGCCAGCCAUCCAUGGAUCAAGGGUGGGAAGUGCUGUUUUAGCCACAAAGGUGCCAAUUUUUAUUAUUUUCUCUUUGAUUUUUUUUUAAAUACAACAAGAAUUCUGGUGAAGAACUACAUGUAAAAUGGAGCUGAGGAUUAAUGAAGAAGCAAAUGGGAGAUCUUUUUUUGCUUA
Long non-coding RNA from Grus americana (Whooping crane), 1402 nucleotides. RefSeq lists it as uncharacterized. Lineage: Eukaryota; Metazoa; Chordata; Aves; Gruiformes; Gruidae. The record is from RefSeq and is a predicted model, not a curated record. The transcript is spliced from 3 exons.